GACGAACGCUGGCGGCGUGCUUAACACAUGCAAGUCGAACGGAAAGGCCCUGCUUUUGUGGGGUGCUCGAGUGGCGAACGGGUGAGUAACACGUGAGUAACCUGCCCUUGACUUUGGGAUAACUUCAGGAAACUGGGGCUAAUACCGGAUAGGAGCUCCUGCUGCAUGGUGGGGGUUGGAAAGUUUCGGCGGUUGGGGAUGGACUCGCGGCUUAUCAGCUUGUUGGUGGGGUAGUGGCUUACCAAGGCUUUGACGGGUAGCCGGCCUGAGAGGGUGACCGGCCACAUGGGGACUGAGAGACGGCCCAGAAUCCUACGGGAGGCAGCAGUGGGGAAUAUUGCACAAUGGGCGGAAGCCUGAGGCAGCAACGCCGCGUGCGUGAUGACGGCCUUCGGGUUGUAAACCGCUUUCGCCUGUGACGAAGCGUGAGUGACGGUAAUGGGUAAAGAAGCACCGGCUAACUACGUG
This 468-nucleotide ribosomal RNA is filed under the name uncultured bacterium. RNAcentral's name for it is "partial 16S ribosomal RNA". It matches the Rfam family "Bacterial small subunit ribosomal RNA", at positions 28 to 507 of the family's 1533-position model. The record is from RNAcentral.